This 1348-nucleotide ribosomal RNA is filed under the name metagenome. RNAcentral describes it as "bacterial LSU rRNA". It matches the Rfam family "Bacterial large subunit ribosomal RNA", at positions 1564 to 2925 of the family's 2925-position model. The record is from RNAcentral.
UGAGUGCGAGCUUCUACGGAAGCGAAGUUGGUGACGUCAAGCUUCCAAGAAAAGCCCUAUACCCGUUAAGGCAUGAUUACCUGUACCCGAAACCGACACAGGUGGGGUGGUAGAGAAUACCGAGGGGCGCGAGGUAACUCUCUCUAAGGAACUCGGCAAAAUGACCCCGUAACUUCGGGAGAAGGGGUGCCAGCGCGAGCUGGUCGCAGUGAAUAGGCCCAGGCGACUGUUUACCAAAAACACAGGUCUCCGCUAAGUCGCAAGACGAUGUAUGGGGGCUGACGCCUGCCCAGUGCCGGAAGGUUAAAAAGUUGGUCAGCGCAAGCGAAGCUAACGACUGAAGCCCCGGUGAACGGCGGCCGUAACAAUAACGGUCCUAAGGUAGCGAAAUUCCUUGUCGGGUAAGUUCCGACCCGCACGAAAGGCGUAACGAUCUGGGCGCUGUCUCGGAGAGAGGCUCGGCGAAAUAGAAUUGUCUGUGAAGAUGCGGACUACGUGCACCCGGACAGAAAGACCCUAUGAAGCUUUACUGUAGCUUGGUAUUGUGCUCGGGCUCGCAAUGCGCAGGAUAGGUGGGAGGCUUUGAUCCAUUGCUUGUGGGUGAUGGUGAGCCACUGGUGAGAUACCACUCUUUGCGAGCUAGGGUUCUAACGGUUACCCGUCAUCCGGGAACCGGACAGUAUCUGGUGGGCAGUUUGACUGGGGCGGUCGCCUCCUAAAAGGUAACGGAGGCGCGCAAAGGUUUGCUCAGGCUGGUUGGAAAUCAGCCGACGAGUGUAAAAGCAGAAGCAAGCUUGACUGUGAGACCUACAAGUCGAACAGGGAGGAAACUCGGCUUUAGUGAUCCGACGGUUCUGAGUGGAAGGGCCGUCGCUCAACGGAUAAAAGUUACUCUAGGAUAACAGGCUGAUCUCCCCCAAGAGUUCACAUCGACGGGGAGGUUUGGCACCUCGAUGUCGGCUCAUCGCAACCUGGGGCUGAAGUCGGUCCCAAGGGUUGUGCUGUUCGCCCAUUAAAGCGGUACGCGAGCUGGGUUCAGAACGUCGUGAGACAGUUCGGUCCAUAUCCGGUGCAUGCGCAGGAAUAUUGAGAGGAUUUCUCCCUAGUACGAGAGGACCGGGAGGAACGCACCUCUGGUGUACCAGUUAUCGUGCCAACGGUAAACGCUGGGUAGCCAUGUGCGGAGUGGAUAACCGCUGAAAGCAUCUAAGUGGGAAGCCCACCUCAAGAUGAGUAUUCCCAUGGCUUAAGCCAGUAAGGUCACGGGAAGAACACCCGUUGAUAGGCUCUAUGUGGAAGCGCAGUAAUGCGUGAAGCAGAGGAGUACUAAUAGACCGAGGGCUUGACC